AACUAACGCUGGCGGCGUGCCUAACACAUGCAAGUCGUACGAGAAAGCCGGCUUCGGCUGGUGAGUAAAGUGGCGCACGGGUGAGUAACGCGUGGAUAAUCUGCCCUUAAGUGUGGAAUAACGUACCGAAAGGUGCGCUAAUACCGCAUAAUGCCUGGCAACACAAGUUGUCCGGCCAAAGAAGGCCUCUGUUUACAAGCUUUCGCUUCAGGAUGAGUCCGCGUACCAUUAGCUUGUUGGUGGGGUAAUGGCCUACCAAGGCUGCGAUGGUUAGCUGGUCUGAGAGGAUGAUCAGCCACACUGGAACUGAGACACGGUCCAGACUCCUACGGGAGGCAGCAGUGAGGAAUAUUGCGCAAUGGGGGCGAACCCUGACGCAGCAACGCCGCGUGAGUGAGGAAGGUUUUUGGACUGUAAAGCUCUGUCGAGCGGGAAGAAGUGUACCAUGGCUAAUAUCCAUGAUAUUUGACGGUACCGCUAGAGG
RNAcentral lists this ribosomal RNA (484 nucleotides) under uncultured bacterium. RNAcentral describes it as "bacterial SSU rRNA". It matches the Rfam family "Bacterial small subunit ribosomal RNA", at positions 29 to 487 of the family's 1533-position model. The record is from RNAcentral.